Molecule: long non-coding RNA, 990 nt
Organism: Protopterus annectens (West African lungfish)
Lineage: Eukaryota; Metazoa; Chordata; Ceratodontiformes; Protopteridae
Exons: 2
Source: RefSeq, a predicted model, not a curated record
AGAAAAAUCUGAACUGAUUCCAGCAUUUUCUGCUAACCGUAGAAGGGAAUCAGGCAUCCAGGAUGACAGCCACUAAAUACGAAGUAGCAGUGAAGCUGAAAAGAAAAAAUAACACUAUUCAAUAUUGUGUUUGCCUGAAGUUCUGGUGAAUAAGGCAGAAAGACCAGAAAACAAUCGUACUUAAAAAUAUGUCAGCUGAUUUGGAACCUUCGUCCAAUUCUCCCUUGUCCUGCAGUUCAGGAAAAAAAGACUAAUCAUUUGGAAAAUUGUCUUUUAUAUCCUAAAUUGGAGAAGGACACAUAUUCAGUGUCUUUGAAGAUCCUGUAUUAAUGAUUAAACCCUUGCAUGGCUCCGGUGUGUACAGCACCAUCUGGUUGCUUCCAAAAUGAGAAUGUUUCUUUUCUGGAAAUGCAGACAACACUGAUUAUUUUACUGGAAGGAACAAUUAACAAUCCUUGACCUUUUUAUUAUCUAAUGCCAGAAAUGCAGAAAAACCCACAAAUGGUGUAAUCAUUCAUGACACACAGGCUCCUGUCCAGCCGUUAGUACAUGCACUGUGCCCUGUGAUGGUUUCCAGCUGAAGAAAAAGCUCUGCAGGAGCUGUUCAAGGAUGAGCAAACAAACAGUUCUUGUGAGGUCAAAGAAAUCUUUAGCAAGAACCACCCAACAGCAGAAAAAAAGAUUGCAUUUCUUUUUGUUUAGCAACAAGUCUUUUUUUAUACAUGUAUAUGUGUUUUAUGAAAUAUGGAGCCACACAUUCAUAAACAAAGUAUUUUUGAAGGCUUUAGGUCUUAAGGGAACUGCUGGAUAUCCAGGGGAAGAGCAUCGAUCUGAAUAUAAAAUACAACAUGCUCAGGUUUCACGUUUCUUUUUUGUUUUGUUUUCCAUACAUGUAGUAAUGGUCAUUGUUAAUGUAAUUAUCUGUUGAUUUUAUUAGUUUUUUAAUUCUGAAUGAUGGUUGAUGACAUCUGUAAUAAAAGGCUAUCUGCA